Molecule: ribosomal RNA, 490 nt
Filed under: uncultured bacterium
Lineage: Bacteria
Description: partial 16S ribosomal RNA
Rfam family: Bacterial small subunit ribosomal RNA
Source: RNAcentral
GAUGAACGCUAGCGAUAUGCUUAACACAUGCAAGUCGAGGGGCAGCAUGGUCUUUGCUUGCUAAGGCUGAUGGCGACCGGCGCACGGGUGCUUAACGCGUAUGCAACUUUCCUCACAGAGGUGGAUAACCCGUCGAAAGACGGACUACUACCUCGUACACUCUAUGUUGGGCAUCCACUGUAGAGGAAAUGAAAUUCGCUGUGAGAUAGGCAUACGUCCCAUUAGCUAGUUGGUGGGGUAACGGCUCACCCAGGCGACGAUGGGUAGGGGAACUGGGGGGUGGAGCCCGCCACAUGGUACUGGGACACCGACCAGAAUCCUACGGGAGGCCGCAGUUAGGAAAAUUGGUAAAUGGGCGGGAGCCUGAACCAGCCAAGUCGCGUGAAGGAUGGCUGUCUUAUGGAUUGUAAACUUCUUUUAUACGGGAAUAACAAGAGUGACGUGUGGCUUCCUGAAGGUACCGUAAGAAUAAGCAUCGGCUAACUCCGUG